UCUGCACCUUGCCGCCGCCGCAACAGCCAGAUCCAACACACCGCCCGCCCGCCCUCAACAUCCAAAAUCCAAGAUGAGAUCCAUCUUCGAGAGAGCAGCAACGGGAGCCGGGAUCUCGCCAGGUUGAGGCGUCUCCUUCUUGGAUCUUGACUAGAAAGCUUCAGCCCACAACACCGCGUGAUCGAUACCUAUCCCCAGCAGCAUCAACGGCGACCUUCGUUCGACGAUGGCGCCGACGUUGGCUACUAAUUAGCGGCCCUGCUUGCAUUGCAUGGUUCGCUAGUCCGUCCUUCCCAACUCAGGUGAAUUCUGCAUCCAUGCUUGAACGUGCUCUGCUUCGCAUCUUUGUCAUACUACC
RNAcentral lists this long non-coding RNA (358 nucleotides) under Hordeum vulgare. RNAcentral's name for it is "long non-coding RNA (HVUL_LNC009157)". Lineage: Eukaryota; Viridiplantae; Streptophyta; Magnoliopsida; Poales; Poaceae. The record is from RNAcentral.